This is a non-coding RNA of Pelobates cultripes (western spadefoot toad), 260 nucleotides long. The record is from the annotation of a GenBank genome assembly. Lineage: Eukaryota; Metazoa; Chordata; Amphibia; Anura; Pelobatidae.
GUUUACGUGUCUGUUUAAAUCUUUGAGGAACGGGUCUCCAAAUAAUUUACCCUGUGCCAGCGGACCUAGUUCUUUGGUGCCCAAUUCCACCAAUUUUCCGUCAAUACGGAGUAGUGCUGCUUUGCGCCGCUCGGAUGAGAGGGCGACGUUUGUGUUACCCACAAAGCAAAAGCAUCUUUGUGCCCACUCCCGCACAUCAUGAGCCCAUUCACGCACCAUGGUUGCAUCAAAUUGGUCUGCUCUGGCAAGGGCGUCAUCAG